GCGGAUGUGGCGGAAUUGGUAUACGCGCACGCUUGAGGUGCGUGUGGCUUUUGCUGUGCGAGUUCAAGUCUCGCCAUCCGCA
Molecule: transfer RNA, 82 nt
Filed under: Candidatus Altimarinota bacterium
Lineage: Bacteria; Candidatus Altimarinota
Also listed under: 3 other names
Description: tRNA-Leu
Rfam family: tRNA
About the family: Transfer RNA (tRNA) molecules are approximately 80 nucleotides in length. Their secondary structure includes four short double-helical elements and three loops (D, anti-codon, and T loops).
Source: RNAcentral